Molecule: long non-coding RNA, 192 nt
Organism: Mercenaria mercenaria
Lineage: Eukaryota; Metazoa; Mollusca; Bivalvia; Venerida; Veneridae
Exons: 3
Source: RefSeq, a predicted model, not a curated record
GAAGACCUGCAUGCCUAUCCGCAGGCCAAUGCUGGCUGCAGAUCAAUAUUGAAUGCUCUUAUGAAAACUCAUAAGACAGUAACAAAAAAAGGAAGCUGAGGAUGCUGUUUUUAAAACAUGUUCCAUUCAAAAAUGGUGGAUUGAAAUUUAAGAAAGGUGUGACGGGUGCGGCUACUGCAGGCAGGGAGGAUU